Molecule: ribosomal RNA, 253 nt
Filed under: uncultured bacterium
Lineage: Bacteria
Description: partial 16S ribosomal RNA
Rfam family: Bacterial small subunit ribosomal RNA
Source: RNAcentral
UACAGAGGGUGCGAGCGUUGUCCGGAAUCACUGGGCGUAAAGGGCGCGUAGGCGGCUUGAUAAGCGUGCGGUGAAAGCCCGGGGCUCAACCCCGGGUCGGCCGUGCGAACUGUCGAGCUGGAGCACUGUAGAGGCAGGUGGAAUUCCGGGUGUAGCGGUGGAAUGCGUAGAGAUCCGGAAGGACACCGGUGGCGAAGGCGGCCUGCUGGGCAGUGGCUGACGCUGAGGCGCGACAGCGUGGGGAGCAAACAGG